GCCCUGCCUCCAGAGUCAGAUCUUUCCUCCUGAGUUGUUCCUACCUCCUACCUCAAAGGCAAAGAUUGAGGUGAUGAUUCAUAAGCCAAGGAAUGCCAAGGAUUGCUGGCAAACCACCGGAAGCUAGGCAAGAGGACUAGAACAGAUUUUCUCACAGCCCUCAGAAUCAGCCAACCCCUGACCAAGCUUUGAUCUUGGACUUCUGGCCUCCAGAAUUGUGAAGACCAGGCUUUCCUCCCCUUUGCCUUCCACCAUGAUUGUAAGUUUCCUGAGGCCUCCCCAGCCAUGCUUCCUGUACAGCCUGCAAACUAGACUGGGCUUCUCCCCACACAUUCCUGGCGAAGAUCAAAAAUUAUACCCUGGGCCUGGCACAGUGGCUCACGCCUGUAAUCCCAGCACUUUGGGAGGCUAAGG
This is a long non-coding RNA of Symphalangus syndactylus (siamang), 414 nucleotides long. RefSeq lists it as uncharacterized. The record is from RefSeq and is a predicted model, not a curated record. NCBI's taxonomy places the organism in Eukaryota, Metazoa, Chordata, Mammalia, Primates, Hylobatidae.